UCGAACGGAAAGGCCCUGCUUGCAGGGUACUCGAGUGGCGAACGGGUGAGUAACACGUGGGUGAUCUGCCCUGCACUUCGGGAUAAGCUUGGGAAACUGGGUCUAAUACCGGAUAGGAGCCAUCUUUAGUGUGGUGGUUGGAAAGUUUUUUCGGUGUAGGAUGAGCUCGCGGCCUAUCAGCUUGUUGGUGGGGUAAUGGCCUACCAAGGCGGCGACGGGUAGCCGGCCUGAGAGGGCGUACGGCCACAUUGGGACUGAGAUACGGCCCAGACUCCUACGGGAGGCAGCAGUGGGGAAUAUUGCACAAUGGGCGCAAGCCUGAUGCAGCGACGCCGCGUGGGGGAUGAAGGCCUUCGGGUUGUAAACUCCUUUCGCUAGGGACGAAGCUUUGUGGGACGGUACCUAGAUAAGAAGCACCGGCUAACUACGUGCCAGCAGCCGCGGUAAUACGUAGGGUGCGAGCGUCGUCCGGAAUUACUGGGCGUAAAGGGCUCGUAGGUGGUUUGUCGCGUCGUCUGUGAAAUUCUGGGGCUUAACUCCGGGCGUGCAGGCGAUACGGGCAUAACUUGAGUGCUGUAGGGGUAACUGGAAUUCCUGGUGUAGCGGUGAAAUGCGCAGAUAUCAGGAGGAACACCUAUGGCGAAGGCAGGUUACUGGGCAGUUACUGACGCUGAGGAGCGAAAGCAUGGGUGGCGAACA
Molecule: ribosomal RNA, 699 nt
Filed under: uncultured Actinomycetales bacterium
Lineage: Bacteria; Bacillati; Actinomycetota; Actinomycetes; Actinomycetales
Description: bacterial SSU rRNA
Rfam family: Bacterial small subunit ribosomal RNA
Source: RNAcentral